AACCUAGCACACCUGCGGUGUGUACCUGCGGAGGGAUCAUUGCUGGAACGCGCUUCGGCGCACCCAGAAACCCUCUGUGAACUUAUACCUACCGUUGCCUCGGCGAGGCUGGCUUCUUGUGACAGAAGCCCCCCGGAGACGGGGAGCAGCCCGCCGGCGGCCAACCAAACUCUUGUUUCUAUAGUGAAUCUCUGAGUAAAAAACAUAAAUGAAUCAAAACUUUUAGCAAUGGAUCUCAGA
Molecule: unclassified non-coding RNA, 240 nt
Filed under: soil metagenome
Description: partial contains 5.8S ribosomal RNA, internal transcribed spacer 2, and large subunit ribosomal RNA
Source: RNAcentral